GUCCUCGCGUUGCCUUUCAGUCAAACCAAUCACAAAAAGAAGAAGAAGAAGAAGAAAGUGUCCCUCCAUUUCAUCUCCAUUGUUGCUGUAAUUCCUUUACCUUUUGCCCUUUUCUUGCCUUUGUCUUCUUCUCCUUCGUCUCCUCCCUCGCGAUUCCCGCCGGCGUCCCCCCCUAGGUUUCCGAUGGGAUUCCGGCGAUGACGGGUUCCGGCGAGCCGGGGCUCCGAUCUGAGGCGCGCGCGCGGCUCUCAAGUUCGCACUUUUGAUCCUCCUCCGGCCGGCGCUCGCCGGGUUCUGAUUUGGGUACCGAGGUUUUUCGCGGGUUUUUGAGGUAAAAGAUGGCCGGACGCGCGCUGGUCCAGGUGUCGGCCGCCGGCGGCCCGGCGGUGCUGAGGCUGGACGCCCUCCCUCGCGGCGGCUCUCCGAAUUGCCUGCCCUGCCUCCCCGCGAAACCCCAGGAGCGCGGGCGGCGGCGGGGUCUAAUCCGGGCGGCGUCCGCCGACCCGGGGCACGCGCAGCAGUCCUCGUCGUCGGCGGCGGCCGAGAAGAAGAGCCCGAUCGCGGUGGUGCUGGACGUGCCGCGCACUAUCUGGCGGCAGACGCUGCGGCCGCUGGGUGAUUACGGGUUCGGGCGGCGGAGCGUCUGGGAAGGCGGGGUCGGGCUGUUUCUGGUGUCGGGCGCCGUGCUCUUGGCGCUAUCUCUGGCUUGGUUGAGGCAAUUCCAAAUGCGGUCCAAGUUCAGGAAGUAUUUGGCCGUUUUCGAAUUCGCGCAGGCUUCGGGAAUCUGCACGGGAACGCCCGUGAGGAUAAGAGGAGUGACUGUUGGAGAAAUCAUCCGGGUCAAUCCAUCAUUGAGAAGUAUUGAAGCAGUCGCCGAGGUUGAUGAUGAGAAGAAAAUCAUACCUCGAAAUGCUCUUGUCGAGGUGAACCAGUCGGGUCUUCUGAUGGAGACUAUGAUCGACAUUACCCCUCGAGACCCCAUUCCGACGCCGUCGGUAAGUCCUCUUCAUCCAGAAUGUGAUAAAGAGGGUCUCAUCAUCUGUGACAGGCAAAAGAUAAAGGGAUAUCAAGGUGUGAGUUUGGAUGCUUUAGUGGGGAUAUUCACCCGGAUUGGACGUGAAGUCGAGGAAAUCGGUGUUGCUAGAAGCUAUUCACUAGUCGAACGAGUUUCCGCAGUCAUUGAAGAGGCAAAGCCACUCUUGGCCAAGCAAUAUUUCAGAUGGAAGCCAUGGCCGAAGAUGUCCAGCCUUUACUUGCUGAGGUUCGCAAUAGUGGUUUGCUGAAGGAGGUGGAGAGUUUGACAAGAAGCCUUACACAAGCCUCUGACGAUAUGAGAAGGGUGCACUCGUCUAUCAUGACUCCAGAGAACACCGAACUGAUUCAGAAAUCCAUCUACACUCUAAUUUUCACGUUGAAGAAUGUUGAGAGUAUAAGUUCCGAUAUUUUGGGGUUCACGGGCGAUGAGGCUACAAGACGAAAUUUGAAAUUGCUUAUCAAGUCCCUCAGCAGGCUACUGUGAAGACUUGCCUACAAGACAAAGUGAUAUUCUGAAGGUGGCAGACCUCGUACCAUAAUUUUUGGGUUCUGUUUCAGGUAAUUAGGCGGGUCAUGUGUCUGUAUACUCUGUUUUUGAGGAUGGAUGGGAGGGAUGGCUCAAUUACUAUUUUUUGGUGAUCGUUUGGGAGCACGAGCAGAGUGUUAAGAAAAUGUUAUUCUGCUGCAUCAAUUACCUUAUCGUGCUUUUGUUUGCUCGAAUUCAUUUUCCUCUAUGACAGACAAUUUAACAUCAUUUUGGCUGCAUUUUUAACUGACA
Molecule: RNA transcript, 1813 nt
Organism: Eucalyptus grandis
Lineage: Eukaryota; Viridiplantae; Streptophyta; Magnoliopsida; Myrtales; Myrtaceae
Gene name: protein TRIGALACTOSYLDIACYLGLYCEROL 2, chloroplastic
Exons: 5
Source: RefSeq, a predicted model, not a curated record